ACUCACCUACAAUUACCUCACACUCACGCUUUCUCAAGGAAUACUCCUCUCUCAUCUCACAAAAGGACACGUCUUCUCUUCUUUCCCACCCUUUCACUCACGAAAAGAAAAAGGAGACACCACCUACCUCACUCCACUCACCCAAGAAAAACAAAAACGAAAAAGAAAAAAAGGAAAAGUUGUUCAGCUUUCUUCCUCACCUUCACACCCUCAACGUCACCCCCCGCUCAAUCCUCCGCACCUCCGUCAUACUCC
Molecule: long non-coding RNA, 255 nt
Filed under: Lathyrus oleraceus (garden pea)
Lineage: Eukaryota; Viridiplantae; Streptophyta; Magnoliopsida; Fabales; Fabaceae
Description: Pisum sativum (pea) long non-coding RNA (PSAT_LNC009891)
Source: RNAcentral